GAUAAAUGUCAGAUUUAGUUUAAUGUAACAAACAUUUAACAGUUUUUUUACUGUUUUCCUUUAGAACGCUGUCUUUAAUCAUCUUGUACGGUAAUAAAAUCUUCUUUCUGCUCCUGCUGCCUCUAAAGCUAAAGAAGCCCAAACGUGUUUCUGUCUGUGAUGAAUUCCUCUCCAUCCAUCCCAGAGCUUCUGACCGAGGCUCCAUCUGAAAUGUCAGCGCUGUUGUUUCAGCUCCUGCAGGGUGAGCAGCACCUGGCUCGAUUAAUUUAUACCUGCAGCUCUCACAGUGAUGACAGCUGCAGGGAGGAAUAAAAUGUGCAAUGAAAGCUAACCUUCUCUUUGUUCCUGCGAGAGCCGGGCUGUGUUUAACACGGCGGGGUCCGGCAGGGCUCCCUGUCGGAGAAUCCAGCCGAGGAGCUUUUCCAUUCCAGGGUCGGAGGUUAAUUGGGUAUGAAAAUCCAAACACAAGGAUCAUUCUCUUCUAAAUCCACGGAGAGUCCUGUCAGAGAUGAAAGAAAGGAGGACAGAAAGGCUGAAAAAGCUGUGCUUCCAGAAUUAAACCUCCCAUCUCGUCAGUUUGUCUGCCUCACCUGAGCGGGAUCGGACCGGCUCGGCGGUGACAGGCAGUGACUUUGGCCUUUUGUUCCCGUCCUGACACCAGCUUUCAGUCAUGGAGGGAACUUCUGGGACACAAACUGCAGCAGAUUAAGACCCAGGAUCCGUUCUGACGGAGGUCAUCCAGAACAGAACACCUGGAAGUCCAUCAAAGUGAAUCCUGUCAGGUCAGAGUCAGGCCUUCGCUCGUUCUCUCCUUUCAGAUGUUAGAACUCAAAGCAUCACUUUGACUCGGAGCUGUGAGGAUGAAACCAGAUAACAGGAUCAGACUGAAUCCUUUGAUCAGAUCAUCAGAUGAAGACUAAAGCUAAUGGAUCAGAUCAGACUGAAGUUAGUCGGUGUUUUUAUGUAAGCAGAGAUCUGGUUGAGAAGCAGAUUUUUAAUACUGAUGCAGCUUUAGAGGAAGUGGUCGUCUGAAUUCAUCAGAUGACAACGUAAAGAAGAUCUGAUGUCAUUGUAAUGCUGACCCGUCUGAUGAAGAGGAGAUCCGUCAGUUACAUGCGUGAGCAGAUCCCUCAAACAUUUUCCUAAAGUUUUGUGGCUCCUAAGCUGCAUUUUCCUGAACCGUUUCCAGCUUCUAACGCCGUUUCCUCAUGGAUCUCUGGGAGGUUCGGCUGACUGGCCGCAUGUGAAUGAGAGGAACCGGAACCAGAACGCCGUCAUGAACUCUCUCCUGGUUUGGUCCAGAUAUUUCUCCACAGAGAAGAGUGGAAGUGAAACAGGGGAGAAGGAUUUCUGUAAACUCUUGAAGCUCAGACUGAAUUUGGUUCCAGUUCAUUUCUGAUAGAUUCUAGUUCUGGUCGUUUUGGGAUGUUUAUCAGUUGAGUUUAUAAAUAUUUUCUGUGUCCAGUUCAUAGAAGCAGCCGUUAGAGUUUGCAUUCGGAGCUGCUCAUCAGUUUGAGUUUGUCGUAUCACUGAUGCGACUCUUUUGUCCGUGAAGCGGCAGCAGCUCCGAGUUUACA
Long non-coding RNA from Oryzias melastigma (Indian medaka), 1577 nucleotides. RefSeq lists it as uncharacterized. NCBI's taxonomy places the organism in Eukaryota, Metazoa, Chordata, Actinopteri, Beloniformes, Adrianichthyidae. The transcript is spliced from 3 exons. The record is from RefSeq and is a predicted model, not a curated record.